This 520-nucleotide ribosomal RNA is filed under the name uncultured Glomus. RNAcentral describes it as "SSU rRNA". It matches the Rfam family "Eukaryotic small subunit ribosomal RNA", at positions 569 to 1087 of the family's 1831-position model. Lineage: Eukaryota; Fungi; Glomeromycota; Glomeromycetes; Glomerales; Glomeraceae. The record is from RNAcentral.
AGCAGCCGCGGUAAUUCCAGCUCCAAUAGCGUAUAUUAAAGUUGUUGCAGUUAAAAAGCUCGUAGUUGAAUUUCGGGGUCAGUAGAUUGGUCGUGCCACUGGUAUGUACUGGUCUUACUGGCUCCUCCUUCCUGAUGAACCGUAAUGCCAUUAAUUUGGUGUUGCGGGGAGACUGGACUGUUACUUUGAAAAAAAUUAGAGUGUUUAAAGCAGGCUAACGCUUGAAUACAUUAGCAUGGAAUAAUGAAAUAGGACGUUCGAUCUUAUUUUGUUGGUUUCUAGGAUUGACGUAAUGAUUAAUAGGGAUAGUUGGGGGCAUUAGUAUUCAAUUGUCAGAGGUGAAAUUCUUGGAUUUAUUGAAGACUAACUACUGCGAAAGCAUUUGCCAAGGAUGUUUUCAUUAAUCAAGAACGAAAGUUAGGGGAUCGAAGACGAUCAGAUACCGUCGUAGUCUUAACCAUAAAACUAUGCCGACUAGGGAUCGGGAUGAUGUUAAUUUUUUAAUGACUCAUUCGGCGCC